This 1480-nucleotide ribosomal RNA is filed under the name human oral metagenome. RNAcentral's name for it is "bacterial LSU rRNA". It matches the Rfam family "Bacterial large subunit ribosomal RNA", at positions 488 to 1977 of the family's 2925-position model. The record is from RNAcentral.
UAGUGAAGAGUACCGUGAGGGAAAGGUGAAAAGAACCCUGAGCAAGGGAGUGAAACAGAAUUUGAAACCGUGUGCCUACAAACGGUAGGAGCCCGUUCCGGGUGACUGCGUGGAUUUUGGUUAAUCAUCCUGCGAGUUAUGGCUGGUGGCAAGGUUAAUAGACGGAGCCGAAGGGAAACCAAGUCUUAACAGGGCGACAAGUCGCCGGCCAUAGACGCGAAACCUAGUGAUCUAGGCCUGUCCAGGCUGAAGCUGAGGUAAGACUCAGUGGAGGGCCGAACUCACCGCCGUUGAAAAGUUGGGAGAUGAGAUAGGUCUAGGGGUGAAAAGCCAAUCGAACUAGGAGAUAGCUCGUUCUCUCCGAAAUGCAUUUAGGUGCAGCCUUGAACUGAGAUAUGUGGGGGUAGAGCUCUGUAUGAUCUAGGGGGCGUACUGCUUACCGAAAUCAAGCAAACUUCGAAUACCAUAUAUCAUGUUCAGGAGUGAGUCCGUGGAUGACAAGGUCCUCGGACGAGAGGGGAACAGCCCAGACCGCCAGCUAAGGUCCCUAAUUAUGUCUAAGUGGGAAAGGAGGUGGAUAUUCACAGACAACCAGGAGGUUGGCUUAGAAGCAGCCAUGCCUUGAAAGAGUGCGUAAUAGCUCACUGGUCGAGAGUGCCUGCGCCGAAGAUGUAACGGGGCUAAGACAUAAACCGAAGCUGCGGAAGAUACUACGUAUCUUGGUAGGAGAGCGUUCUGUAGGCCGUCGAAGGGAUGCCGCAAGGCCAUCCUGGAGGUAUCAGAAGCGAGAAUGCAGGAAUGAGUAGCGAGAAGGCGGGCGAGAAUCCCGCCGGCCGGAAGUCCAAGGUUUCCAGGGGAAGGCUUGUCCGCCCUGGGGAAGUCGGGACCUAAGCAUAAGCAAAAUUGUGACGGCGAAUGGAAAACAGGUUAAUAUUCCUGUACCGCUGUUAUCGCUUGAGAGACGGAGUGACGCAGGAAGGUAUGCGAGAAGGCUGACGGUUUAGCCUUUCUAAGGGCCCAGCGUGGGCGUGCAGGUAAAUCCGCACGCCUAAACGUGAGACCUGACGGGGAAGUGCACUUGCAUAAGUCGCAGAUCCUACACUGCCAGGAAAAACUUCUAUCGAUGAGAAGCAGCGCCCGUACUGUAAACCGACACAGGUGGACAGAGUGAGAAACUUAAGGCCGACAGGAUAACUCUAGCUAAGGAACUCUGCAAAAUAGCCCCGUAACUUCGGGAGAAGGGGUGCCUGACAUACCUGAAGGGAGAGACGCUCCCAGGGGAAACAGGCCGCAGUGAAGAGUCCCAAGCAACUGUUUACCAAAAACACAGGUCUAUGCUAAGCUGAAAGGCGACGUAUAUGGGCUGACACCUGCCCAGUGCCGGAAGGUUAAGAGGAGGAGUGAGAGCUCCGAUUUGAAGCCCCGGUGAACGGCGGCCGUAACUAUAACGGUCCUAAGGUAGCGAAAUUCCUUGUCGGGU